AGCUCCAAUAGCGUAUAUUAAAGUUGUUGCAGUUAAAAAGCUCGUAGUUGGAUUUCUGGCAGGGGGCAACAGCCCGCUUGCAGCGUGUGCUUGCCGUCCCCUACCAUCCUUCUGUUAACGUGCCAGGACAUUCACUUGUCGGGCACGGGCUCAGAUAAUUUACCUUGAGAAAAUUAGAGUGUUUCAGGCAGGCUGACGCCGGGAUACAUUAGCAUGGAAUAAUGGAAUAGGACUUUCGCCUCUUCUGUUGGUCUGAGGGGUGAUCGUAAUGAUUAAUAGGGAUAGUUGGGGGCAUUAGUACUUAACUGUCAGAGGUGAAAUUCUCGGAUUUGUUAAAGACUAACUUAUGCGAAAGCAUUUGCCAAGGAUGUUU
RNAcentral lists this ribosomal RNA (373 nucleotides) under uncultured eukaryote. RNAcentral describes it as "SSU rRNA". It matches the Rfam family "Eukaryotic small subunit ribosomal RNA", at positions 587 to 969 of the family's 1831-position model. The record is from RNAcentral.